Molecule: ribosomal RNA, 255 nt
Filed under: uncultured bacterium
Lineage: Bacteria
Description: partial 16S ribosomal RNA
Rfam family: Bacterial small subunit ribosomal RNA
Source: RNAcentral
UACGUAGGGGGCGAGCGUUGUCCGAAGUUACUGGGCGUAAAGCGCGCGUAGGCGGUCAUUUAAGUCUGAGGUGAAAGGUUCAGCGCUCAACGUGAACAGUGCCUUGGAUACUGGGUGACUUGAGUUCGGGAGGGGGCAGUGGAAUUCCAGGUGUAGCGGUGAAAUGCGUAGAUAUCUGGAGGAACACCGAUGGCGAAGGCAGCUGCCUGGCCCAGAACUGACGCUGAGGUGCGAAAGCGUGGGGAGCGAACGGGG